UCAGUAUUAUGAAAGUAGUUCAGCUGAAAUGUUUGCCUUCCUGUGCUCAGUCACUUGAGCAGUCCAAGUGACACCUUUGACAAGACAGAACAAGAAAUUUAUUCCUUCAAUAUGGAGCAUUUUGCAAGGGAAGCUGAGUUUUGGAGCAGGCUAAUGGGGAAGAGUGUUCUUCUGACCAGUGAACAAACCAACGUCAUCAGGAGUACUUUGAGAGCUCCUUGAGAAUUUAUUAGACAGGCAGCAGCCCUUGGAAUACUGGAGCUGUGGCGAGAGAGACUACCUCGGGAACUGGGAGAGAGCAAGGCAAAGCCAAGAGAAGAGAGGAAUCUUCUUCAGCCAGAGCAUUAAUAGGAGAAGGGAGCCGCCGUGUUAAGCAGGACACAAUUCAAAUGAGUGUGAAGACUGUAUGGCAGCCUAACAAGAACUCAGUGUGCUUCUGCUGAACUGAGCUGAAGAGGGAAGAGAAAGAGAAAGACUGUACCCUUUCUACCUGCUUCGUCCCUGGCAUCUGGUCCACCUCAGCUGUGGUCCUGUGGUUGUCACAGGUGAGCGGCUCAGAUUUGUUCCAGACCCCAAAGAUUCUAGGCAGGCAGGUGGGUCUGUCCAAGUCACCCCUGGUCCCCAGGAGCCCAGAGAUGCCAGGUUCAGCUGAGAUCAGCAUGGGCAUCACCUGUCACUGCAGAAUUGGACUGAAGACCCUGAGGGGUCUGUCAGUACUGAGACAGGCUCUCUGUGGCAAAGGCUGCUGGCCCUACUUUAUUUUUCUAUCAGCCUUGAAUAGCUUUGAGCCUAAGACCACCUGUCUAAUUCCAUCUGAAAUCCAGUAAGUAUCUGGAAGAAAGCAACCCCAUGUGGAAAUCGGUAGGGGUGUAUAGAUCCUGGUUUCUUAGAAAUUAAUACAAUUUCAAAAUGCGCAUCCUGACAAGGCCGAGGUUCUAAACGAGAAAACAUUUAUGAAGCUAAGUAUGUUUAAAUAAUGGUAAAUAGGCCUUCCAUAACUGGGCUUAGCAAAAGCAAAUGCUUAUGAUCUUGUGCUCCCUGAAGAGGAGAGAGGCUGUCUUUAGGACAGGCACCGAGACUUUGCCAGGCUGCCUUUCCUCGUGGCACAUCAUGAGGAAAUUUGUAAUAGGUCAAAACAUUUGAAAACAAGAUUCUCCAUAAUAAACGGCCCUGCCUGAGAUGUCAUAGAAAGCAACAUUUUAAUGACGAUAAUAAACUAUGAUGAUAAACUAUGGCGUCAUCUCAUCAUAUCCCCAGGUGUAAGGUUCAAGUAUAAAACCAGUUAAAAUCACCGUACAGGGAGAGCAGGCCUGGACUUUUCACACUACUAAAAUUUUGUUAUGGUAUCCAGUGGGCAGAACUAGCAGAAAAUACUUAAUUAAAACAAAACAAAAACCAACCCUUUUCCUGGCAGAACUAUAACCAGCAAUACCUUCUAAUAAGUAAUUGUGGACAGUAAUUUUCCAGAAUAUGGAUAACAUGAAGGAAUUUGGCAGUAUUAUUUUCCCACAUCUACUUUUACCACUUUUUAGCUUAUUUCUUUUUCCUGCUACUUU
Molecule: long non-coding RNA, 1556 nt
Organism: Nyctereutes procyonoides (raccoon dog)
Lineage: Eukaryota; Metazoa; Chordata; Mammalia; Carnivora; Canidae
Exons: 3
Source: RefSeq, a predicted model, not a curated record